UGAAAUAAUGACACAGACUGGCUACACGAUCUCAUCUGCCGCAGAUACUGUAUCAGGAGGACAGCGCGUUUGUUUGAGGCACUUUUCACUUCAACUGUGUCUGACGGGAGAAUUAGCUUUUCUGAGCUUACUAGCCGUUGAGAGUUGCCAUGGCAACCGCGGACACAUCAGCUGCUGGAGAGAAGAGGACGCGUCUGACACUUUCUCUGUUUCUCGUCAGUGAUACCAAAGAAAAGUUCAACAACUGCGACAGACUGUUUGUUUAUUUCUAAUAAGGAGCUGGAGGCCGUGGAGAAGCAGAUCCGUGACCUCGUGGAGAAGCAGGCUCAGCUGAGAGAGCGGAGAGCCGUGCUGGAAACAUUCAGGGGUUGAUGCUCACAAGUCUGGGGUAAGUAUACAG
Cyprinus carpio (common carp) is the source of this 400-nucleotide long non-coding RNA. RefSeq lists it as uncharacterized. The record is from RefSeq and is a predicted model, not a curated record. NCBI's taxonomy places the organism in Eukaryota, Metazoa, Chordata, Actinopteri, Cypriniformes, Cyprinidae. The transcript has 3 exons.